CCCGCCUAGCGUCUAAUGGAGAACCCCAGGCCCCUACCCCCUGCCAUCACCCCUCCCAUGGCCCCCCUCCCCGUCCCCCCACCCAUCGCCCCCGUCCCCGUCUCACCCCGCGCCCCCGCCUCCACAUCCGCCGCAGCCGGAGGCGGAGACGAGGAGGAGGUCGACUACGAGGUCUCCGACGACCACCGCGCCGCGCGGGAGCGCCACGAGCGCGCCGUACAGGAGCUCCUGCAGCGCCGGCGCGCCUACGCCAUGGCCGUGCCCACCAACGACUCCGCCGUGCGCGCGCGCCUCCGCCGUCUCGGCGAGCCCAUCACGCUCUUCGGCGAGGGCGCGAUGGAGCGCCGCGACCGGCUACGCGCACUCAUGGCCCGCCUCGAGGCCGAGGGCCAGUUCGACCGCCUCCUCCGCGCGCAGGAGGACGAACAGGGAGCCCCGGGCGACGACGAGGAGGACACGGAGGAGCAGAUCAAGUACCCGUUCUUCACCGAGGGGACCAACCAACUGCUCCAGGCGCGCGUUGACAUCGCCAUGUACUCGCUGCCCCGCGCCAAGGCCAGGGUCGAGAGGGCCAAGCGACGACUCGCCGACCCCGACGAGGACCCCGAGGCAGAGGCCGGACUUGUUGUGAAGCAGGCGGCGGACUUCGUGCUUGAGUGCAGCGAGAUUGGAGAUGACCGCCCGCUCACCGGCUGCUCCUUCUCCCGCGACGCCUCGAUGCUCGCCACAAGUUCCUGGAGCGGAAUCGUCAAAGUAUGGAGCAUGCCGCAGAUAACCAAAAUUGCAACCCUGAAAGGUCAUACAGAACGCGCAACUGAUGUUGCCUUCUCUCCAGUCGAUAACUGCUUAGCGACAGCCUCAGCUGAUAGAACUGCCAAAUUGUGGAACAGCCAUGGGUCACUUCUAAUGUCCUUUGAUGGUCACCUGGAUCGUCUUGCUCGCCUUGCUUUUCAUCCAUCUGGAAAGUACCUUGGCACAGCUAGCUUUGACAAGACCUGGAGAUUAUGGGACAUCAAUACUGGAACUGAACUUCUACUCCAGGAGGGGCAUAGCAGAAGUGUAUAUGAUCUUAGCUUUCACCCUGACGGUUCUUUAGCUGCAUCUUGUGGGUUUGAUGCGACUGCUCGAGUUUGGGAUCUCAGAUCAGGAAGAUUGUACUGUACCCUCAUUGGACAUGUGAAGCCUGUCCUAGGAGUCAGCUUCUCCCCUAAUGGUCAUCUGGUUGCAACCGCAAGUGAAGACAAUUUCUGUCGAAUAUGGGAUUUGAGGACCAGACAAAUGAUUUAUUCUAUACCAGCACAUAAGAGUCUUAUCUCACAUGUGAAAUUUGAACCCCAGGAGGGUUAUUAUUUAGUGACAUCUUCCUAUGACACUAAAGCAGCGCUGUGGUCAACUCGGGAUUACAGACCAAUUAAAAGCUUGUCAGGCCAUGAGUCAAAUGUUUCUAGUCUGGAUAUCAGUGGAGAUGGACAACAGAUUGUGACUGUUUCACACGAUAGAACGAUAAAGAUUUGGUCAUGCAGAGGCAGCGCGCGGGAUGAUGAGAUGGAGUUGGAUUAAGCAUUGAUUCCACCGUUGUUGGAAACAGGGUUUGGCAGUUGGCAAUAGCUUACAGAUCCGACAAUACAGUAUAAAGUCAUACACUGACUAUCCAUUGGAUAUGGUCGUUUGGUAUCCUACGUAUGUGAAUGAUGGCCAUGUCCAUGAGACUGCCUGCAUGGUGGACCUGAUUAAUUUGCAUACUGCAGAUUGCAACAGUACAUUGCUCAUUGAAGGCAAAGAUGACUGCCAAAGAGUUUGAGGAGCUUGUCCUCAAUGGCCACAACUACUCUUCAUGGGCUAUGGACAUCAAGAUCAGUCUUGCGUCCCGUGGGAUAGCGCGUGCAAUCCAGCCCCCGGAGACUCUUCUCCCGACUCGAGUCAUGCCGCUGAGAGAACGAUGGAAUUAUGAUGCCUUGUUCAUCAUAAGACACCAUAUUCAUCCAGAACUCAAGUAUGAGUAUUUAUAGGAGGAAUCUCCUAGUACUUUGUUUCUGGCUCUCAAAACGAGGUAUGAACAACAGAAGGCAGUAAUCCUGCCAGAAGCACUCCAUGGUUGGACUCAUCUGUGCCUUUAGGAUUUCAAGUCCAUUGGUGAGUACAAUCAUUAUGUUCAUAAGAUAUGUUCUAAACUGC
This is an RNA transcript of Hordeum vulgare subsp. vulgare (domesticated barley), 2175 nucleotides long. The record is from RefSeq and is a predicted model, not a curated record. NCBI's taxonomy places the organism in Eukaryota, Viridiplantae, Streptophyta, Magnoliopsida, Poales, Poaceae.